AAUUUGGGACAAUGGGGGCAACCCUGAUCCAGCCAUCCCGCGUGUUCGAUGAAGGCCUUCGGGUUGUAAAGCACUUCUGGCAGGGAAGUAACGGCGCUGGUCAAUACCUGGCGCACCAGACGGUACCUGCAGAAUAAGCACCGGCUAACUACGUGCCAGCAGCCGCGGUAAUACGUAGGGUGCAAGCGUUAAUCGGACUUACUGGGCGGAAAGCGUGCGCAGGCGGUUCGGAAAGAAAGGUGUGAAAUCCCAGGGCUGAACCUUGGAACUGCACUUUUAACUACCGGGCUAGAGUAUGUCAGAGGGGGGUAGAAUUCCACGUGUAGCAGUGAAGUGCGUAGAGAUGUGGAGGAAUACCGAUGGCGAAGGCAGCCCCCUGGGAUAAUACUGACGCUCAUGCACGAAAGCGUGGGUAGCAAACAGG
RNAcentral lists this ribosomal RNA (424 nucleotides) under uncultured bacterium. Its description in RNAcentral is "partial 16S ribosomal RNA". It matches the Rfam family "Bacterial small subunit ribosomal RNA", at positions 360 to 776 of the family's 1533-position model. The record is from RNAcentral.